UACAGAGGGGGCAAGCGUUAUUCGGAAUUAUUGGGCGUAAAGGGCGCGUAGGCGGCUUCGCAAGUGACGGGUGAAAUCCCUCGGCUUAACCGAGGAACUGCCUGUGAAACUGCGUGGCUUGAGACCAGGAGAGGUGAGUGGAAUUCCCAGUGUAGCGGUGAAAUGCGUAGAUAUUGGGAGGAACACCAGUGGCGAAGGCGGCUCACUGGACUGGUACUGACGCUGAGGCGCGAAAGCGUGGGGAGCAAACAGG
Molecule: ribosomal RNA, 253 nt
Filed under: uncultured bacterium
Lineage: Bacteria
Description: partial 16S ribosomal RNA
Rfam family: Bacterial small subunit ribosomal RNA
Source: RNAcentral